CUACGGGGGGCUCCAGUGGGGAAUAUUGCACAAUGGAGGAAACUCUGAUGCAGCAACGCCGCGUGGAGGAUGACACUUUUCGGAGCGUAAACUCCUUUUAUAUAGGAAGAAGGUGACGGUACUAUAUGAAUAAGCGCCGGCUAACUCCGUGCCAGCAGCCGCAGUAAUACGGAGGGCGCAAGCGUUACUCGGAAUCACUGGGCGUAAAGAGCGUGUAGGCGGAUUAAAAAGUCAGAAGUGAAAUCCUAUAGCUUAACUAUAGAACUGCUUCUGAAACUCUUAAUCUAGAAUAUGGGAGAGGUAGAUGGAAUUUCUGGUGUAGGGGUAAAAUCCGUAGAGAUCAGAAGGAAUACCGAUUGCGAAGGCGAUCUACUAGAACAUUAUUGACGCUGAGACGCGAAAGCGUGGGGAGCAAACAGGAUUAGAUACCCCAGUAGUC
Molecule: ribosomal RNA, 439 nt
Filed under: uncultured bacterium
Lineage: Bacteria
Description: partial 16S ribosomal RNA
Rfam family: Bacterial small subunit ribosomal RNA
Source: RNAcentral